This 1664-nucleotide ribosomal RNA is filed under the name Triticum aestivum (bread wheat). RNAcentral's name for it is "partial small subunit ribosomal RNA". The record is from RNAcentral. Lineage: Eukaryota; Viridiplantae; Streptophyta; Magnoliopsida; Poales; Poaceae.
ACGACUGGUCCUUUUGCACUACUGGUCUUCGUAGAGUUUUAGACUAGUUAAACCAAAGACGUUUCUUUCCAACUUGAAAGCCUCAUCUAGCCAUAUAUUUUUCGGGGGAAAACAUUAGAAGAGGGACAUUCUAUCAGCCUUUCCUUCCCGAGCCGGUUGUAUCUGCUCUGUACCCGUUGACGUCGUCGAAGUCAGAAGGUUUUACCUAUAAGCCACUAGACGUGUCGUUGCCGUACCAAAGGUAACUUCUCCUACCUUGAGUACUGCCGUAUUUCUGCUAGGCCUAAGUCUUUCGGACGCUCAAGUGGUGGUCGAGACACGAAACACAGACGUAAUAGUGUACCUUGUACUUGCCGUUCUACAGACACGUCCUGGAUUCUUUCGACCACUCGAGGUGGUCCUUCAAGCUGAACGACCAACAACCCGACGUUCUUCAGGGCUUUACGCCGCAGCUCGUCCAAGACGUUCUUCGGUACCGACUAUGUGUGUAGGACAAUACAGUCUUUCGGUACGUCAGAUAAGUCUACAAAGAAAAACCCCGUUUCUCAAGCCUUAGCAUGUAGUUUCUUUACUUCCACCUGUUUGUGCGUCAGCCUCCGACGCCUCCGCAUUAACCCUCUUUCUUUCCUCGACACCGGUACAUACAUUUGAAGUCACCCUAGGCCUACCACAAACACAGGACGGUAGAACGUCACAUCGAGUACUUGUGUUCCACCUCUUCUCCUUGAGACUUACGGCCGUAUAAAGCGUGAGCGACAAGAGGUUCUUACUGUAUGUAAUACGGUUUAGACGGCUGUAUUGUCACACCGAGCCACUGAACUUAAUGUCUAAUCUUCCUUAUUCGAGCUACGGUCGUUCCUUCUACUAGCUCCUCUUAGCGGUUUCAUUCGAUUCUCUGUCUCUGGUCGACGACGUUCUUCGGCUCUUCCCAGUUCACAAGUUACCCAUGACACUUCCCUGGAACAGAAAAUUCGGUUGUAUGUUUAUAUUACAGCCUUCAUCGUUGAUGCUAAGUUCAAUGUUCUAGUCUCACGGUAGAACCUGUCUAUCCUAUAACAAGUUCCAACUGGUAAGAAGACCGAACCUACGCCACAAUUCAAGUAUACUUCGUGAACUAACACAAUCGUCAAGACUGGUGUUCGGACACUUUCGAGUAGAAACAGACUUUCAUGCACUACCACUAAGUAUCUAAAUAUAAUGUUAACUGUUAGCGUUCAUAUAAGUCUACUGACUAAAAAAAACAUUGUUUUAACAUUUCCGUUUAUCGUAUCUACUAAUAGAUAGGAGAAUUUUACUAAAGCGAUCUACAUUAAACCAUUUCAGUUUUACGGUUGGCACAUAAGUACAACAACACAUGAGGAGUACUACAAUAUACCACUGCGCCUAAAAAGCUUGGCCAGCCGUCCGCAAGAUGUUUGUUGAAGACUACACAAUUCCUUUGUCUUUAUGGGUCGUAUACGCCUGUGAUUUGAAACCAAUUAUGUGUAUCAUGGUACAGUUAUACCGUAACUGUAUCGUCUCGUCUAAGAAAUAAUGUCGUGUGUAACAAAGGGUAACUAUGGGCCACGUGUUUAGCAACGUGGUGGAUCGUUAGCAAACUAGUUGACAUUAACACACAUUUUAAACAUUUAGUCGUUGUAACAAGUAUAACCACGAUAUAACAC